AUUAACUCAGCAGCUUGAGCUCUUGCAUAAGACCGUUGCUGCUUCCGUAAUGCAACAGGAGUAACAUCUGAAAGGAAUGGAGGAAGAUAUGCAUUCCUUUGUCUCUACAUAGGCUAAGGCUACUAAAGAACUUAGAGAAAGGGUAGGAAAGUUGAAAACCAUGUAUGGCUCUGGGAUCAGAGCAUUGGAUGAUUUGGCUAGAGAACUUGAUGGGAAUUUUAGGUCGACUUUUGAAAAUCUUAAUUCAGAAGUAUCAAUGCACUCAUUGGCUCUUGAGGAUCUUUUCAAAAGAUUUGCUUUAGAAGCCGAUGUGAUAUUGAAUGAACUUCAAAGUAGCCUGUCUAAUCAACAAGAGAAACUGGCUUCAUAUGCAAAGCAGCAGCGGGAGGGACACUAUAGAGCCGUGGAGACGACUCGGAUCUAUUUUAAAAAUUACUGUGAACUUCUUCACGGCUUUGGACAUGCAUGCAUCCAAAUUGAGCCAUAUUGUUGAAGAGACAAACUCUCCAUGACUAGAAAUUGUGGGAACUUGAAAAGAAGUUUGAGGAGUGUUCUGCUAAUGAAGAAAGGCAACUAUUGCAAAAAGUGGUUGAGAUGCUUUCAAGUGCUAGGAAGAAAAAACUGGUU
Magnolia sinica is the source of this 627-nucleotide long non-coding RNA. RefSeq lists it as uncharacterized. The transcript is spliced from 5 exons. Lineage: Eukaryota; Viridiplantae; Streptophyta; Magnoliopsida; Magnoliales; Magnoliaceae. The record is from RefSeq and is a predicted model, not a curated record.